RNAcentral lists this ribosomal RNA (446 nucleotides) under uncultured bacterium. RNAcentral describes it as "partial 16S ribosomal RNA". It matches the Rfam family "Bacterial small subunit ribosomal RNA", at positions 338 to 795 of the family's 1533-position model. The record is from RNAcentral.
CCUACGGGUGGCAGCAGUCGAGAAUCAUUCACAAUGGGGGAAACCCUGAUGGUGCGACGCCGCGUGGGGGAAUGAAGGUCUUCGGAUUGUAAACCCCUGUCAUGUGGGAGCAAAUUAAAAAGAUAGUACCACAAGAGGAAGAGACGGCUAACUCUGUGCCAGCAGCCGCGGUAAUACAGAGGUCUCAAGCGUUGUUCGGAAUCACUGGGCGUAAAGCGUGCGUAGGCUGUUUCGUAAGUCGGUUGUGAAAGUGGCGGGCUCAACCCGCGGACGGCACAUGAUACUGCGAGACUAGAGUAAUGGAGGGGGAAACGGAAUUCCCGGUGUAGCAGUGAAAUGCGUAGAUAUCGAGAGGAACACUCGUGGCGAAGGCGGGUUCCUGGACAUUAACUGACGCUGAGGCACGAAGGCCAGGGGAGCGAAAGGGAUUAGAUACCCGAGUAGUC